Molecule: ribosomal RNA, 253 nt
Filed under: uncultured bacterium
Lineage: Bacteria
Description: partial 16S ribosomal RNA
Rfam family: Bacterial small subunit ribosomal RNA
Source: RNAcentral
UACGUAGGGGGCUAGCGUUGUCCGGAAUCAUUGGGCGGAAAGAGCGUGUAGGCGGUCCGGUAAGUCCGCUGUGAAAGUCGGGGGCUCAACCCUCGAAUGCCGGUGGAUACUGUCGGGCUAGAGUGCGGAAGAGGCGAGUGGAAUUCCUGGUGUAGCGGUGAAAUGCGCAGAUAUCAGGAGGAACACCGGUGGCGAAGGCGGGUCUCUGGGCAGUAACUGACGCUGAGAAGCGAAAGCGUGGGGAGCGAACAGG